UGGCCCUUACGAGUAGGGCUACACACGUGCUACAAUGGCAGAUACAGAGGGCAGCGAAGCUGCGAAGUGGAGCGAAUCCCUUAAAGUUUGUCGUAGUCCGGAUUGGAGUCUGCAACUCGACUCCAUGAAGUCGGAAUCGCUAGUAAUCGUGGAUCAGAAUGCCACGGUGAAUACGUUCCCGGGCCUUGUACACACCGCCCGUCACACCAUGGGAGUGGGCUGCACCAGAAGUAGAUAGCUUAACCUUCGGGAGGGCGUUUACCACGGUGUGGUUCAUGACUGGGGUGAAGUCGUAACAAGGUAGCCCUAGGGGAACCUGGGGCUGGAUCACCUCCUUA
Molecule: non-coding RNA, 338 nt
Filed under: Salinivibrio sp. KP-1
Lineage: Bacteria; Pseudomonadati; Pseudomonadota; Gammaproteobacteria; Vibrionales; Vibrionaceae
Description: Bacterial small subunit ribosomal RNA
Rfam family: Bacterial small subunit ribosomal RNA
Source: Rfam by way of RNAcentral